Molecule: RNA transcript, 4406 nt
Organism: Pristis pectinata (smalltooth sawfish)
Lineage: Eukaryota; Metazoa; Chordata; Chondrichthyes; Rhinopristiformes; Pristidae
Exons: 11
Source: RefSeq, a predicted model, not a curated record
AGACAUGACGGCUGCUUGGAUGCUCGUGCGCGUCUUCCAGAGCAACGGGCGGAAAGGGCGUUGGAUGAAGUUCUUCGCAAAGCAAAUUAAUACAUAGCCAGAUGGGCAUCUCGGUACCAAGUCCUUGCAAACUACUUUUUCUGACACAAUGGCACACAGAGAUUUAGGUCGGAGUGAUAGAGUCAAGCAUUUCUCAGCUCUUUCUGAUCCAGGCGGCCCAGAGAGUGAAAUUGAGAGCAGCUCAGCAGAAAGUCGCGUUUCCGGCAAGCAGAACAUUGAAAAAACUUCUGUACUACAGGGAAGUGCUGUUGAUUCAAGUCCUUGGGACAGUGAAGAAGAGGGCCUUUCUAAACAUAAGGAGGUUAAAGAGGAGAAGAAGAACGUUGAGCUUCAAAAAGUUAUCAGGCCAUCAGACGUCAAAGCCACAAGCAUCAACCAAACCUUCACUCCCUCUGAAUGAAGGUUUUAAAGAGACUUUGAAAGAUACAGAUUUUGUAGGCAGACAUUUCCAAUCACCUGGGAAAUUUCAGAUAAAAAAUCAACAUGAUCAAAGUUUGCAGGUUCCUUAUCAAUCUUCAAUUUCCAGAAACAAAACCACAGUACCGGAUCCAAUCACUCAGUCAAGCUAUCCUGGAUGGAGUGAUUCAUCAAGUGAGACACAGCCAAUAUUCUCUAUUUAUGGAAGAGCUAAUGAAGACAAUCAGAAGAAGAAAGGUCAAGUCCUAAUAGAGGAGAAGAAAAGGAAGAAAGGAAAUUUUAAAGAAACCUUAAAGAAAAACAUGAAGGACCUCAACAUCCAGCACAAAUCAAGCCAAACAUCCACCAACAUGCCCUACAAGGAAGACCCUGUAUCCAGCCAGCAGUUUAUUCAAGUUUUGUCCAAAGAGAAACCUGAGGCAGAGAAGAUCUCUUCUGAGGCUGGGAUGUCUUUGACAGAGCUUGGACAGACAAAUGUUGGCUUUACUGAGGAAUGCGUUGAACCCAUAAGUGUAGGGGUAGCUUCAGAGGAAAAUAUAGUGGUUGGAAUCAUGAAAGAUGCCCAGAGUUAUGAAAAAAAUAGCCUAAUCUACUAUUUUGAUUUUGGACAUCAGAACUUCUAUGAGACAAAGAAGGAAUAUAAUGAAGCUUGCAUUAGUAACCUAGCAGACUGGUCUGAUGAUGUGAUUCGGCAUUGUUGGAGAGAGCUGUUUGCGGUGGUAAGGAUCCUAGUGAAUGUGGUCUCUUUGUUUUUGAUUGAAUUGGUGAAUUUCUUAAGUCGGUCGUUCAUCCAAAUCCUAGUGGCUGGACUCUUGACAGUAAUAGGAGACCACAUGCUGAAGCCACUUCUGGCAACUUUGUUCAACAGCCUUCUGCAACCCAUCAUGAUAUUCCUGUUGAAUAUUUUCACCAGCAUAAGAAAUCUCUUGAACCCUUUAAUUGACAUCAUCAGAAGACUGGUAAUGCAAAUAGCUGCUCUGUUGCAUGCCUUCAGACUAGUGGAGGUGAAUUUGAAUCGUGCUCCAUCCAUCCAUCAGGAAGUGUAACCAAUCAAGUUGCAUUUCUAGGAUGUGUGAAAAUCCUUGGAGAUGAUGGUGAGGAUUGGUUGUAAGUGAGAAUCCCUAAACUGGAUUUUUCAGUGACCAGUGGUUAUUCAAAGCUAGUGGCAGAAAUUAUACAUUCUGGUAAUUUGGAGCUUUACAUUUUAAUUGAAUGCUCCUUCUCCCAAGCCAUUUGUUAUAUGAAACUUGAAUAGUGAUUGUGCUCAAUUCUUUUGUUUGGACAUUGGUCAUUGCUUGUGCACAUGACCUGUUUUGCUGAAAUCUUGGUCAUGUGCUAUCUUUCAUGCAGUUUAUUGAAUGUUUGUACUCAUGCUUUGUUAUCCAGGACUUACUAGUCAAUGCAUUCAUGCUGUCUUCCGUAAAGCAUAUUAAGUGUCUGUGAUCAAUUGCCCUACAAGAGUUGGUCAGUUUUCUGGCUUACAUGGUUCCCAUUUCUCAGGAUGUGUAGUCACUUUUACUAUUCUGUGAAAUCUUGGUAGUUUCUCAGAAAAAAUCCACCUCUAUGUAUAUUGGACUAUUAAGAAUAGUAAGGUCAGUGUUGAGUUAGCUGCUCUCUAUCAGAAUGUUAGUGCUUUACCACAUCAAAAAGUUUGAGUUCUCAUUCAUUGCCAUCCAGUAGAAAGUGUGUAUGUCUACACUUUGCUGAAGUUCCUUCUCUCCAUCUUUAAACUCCUCUGAAUCUCUACAAUCCUCCAGUUCUAGACUCUUGCACAUCCUGAUUUUAAUAUUUUACAAUUGGCAGCUGUGCCUUCAACUCUCUCGGCUUUAGCGUUCUCUGAACCUUUCUAUUUCUGUACAAUAUCUUCUCCUUUAAGAUGUUUCUCAUAGCCUUCAUCUUUGACCAAACUGUUGGUCAUCUGCCCUAUAAAUAUAUGUGGCUUGGUGCCUAAUGUUAUUAGAUAAUGCUUCUAUGAAGUGCCUUGGGAUAUUUUCCAAUGUUAACGGUACAAUGUAAAUUCUAAUUGUUUUUCUUGUUCCUUAAUCAUCCAAAUAUUUUUAUGCAUAAUAGAAGGUUGUGGCCACUUUGCCCAGCCCUUACUUUCUAAUCCUGGAAAAUAUUCCUUCCUAUAGUACUACCACCAGAACCAAAAUGAUUUGUUCAUUUGUUAUGCAUAGAUGUUUCUGGGAUCCUGCUGCAGCUGUAAUGUUUGCUUACAGUCGGUACUGGCUUAGCUGGAUACAGGAGGAGUAUCUCAAGUGCCAUAGAAAUGCAAGUAUUUUUUUAAGGAACUUAACAUCUGCCGAUGUGACUUGCACAAGGGCUACAGAAAGAUAUUUUCCAACUGUGUUCCAAUAUGUCCAAAUUGAAGCAAUUAUUUCUACAGAGUCUUUAUAAUAGUGAUCUUCCUUCCAAUAUUCUAGGAUCGUAGUUAGAUUGAAAAUUAUGACUUGGGCCAAUGAUUCCCAAAACUGUCCACCACUAUGGUUUUUCUCAUCCCAAUUUUAGGUUUGUUGUAAACUAAGUGAUGGUGAUCAAUAGCUAUAAUCAGUCAACAAUUCCUUAUCAUUGUAUUGUGACUGCCAGAAUGGUAGACAGUGAAAUAAAUGAACCUUGGUUCUCUUUUGCUACAAGCAUGUAUGUAUUCCUAAAGAACUAAAGACUGUCCCACAUUUCAGAGUACAGAAAAAUAUGUAAAAGAACCGAAUGUGAAAAAUAUUACAUGCUUCUAUGGAGGUGGUACAUUCACGCUACUGUAUGAAGGAUAACAGUGAAAUAGUUCUCUCUUGAAUGCUGAUUAUAUCACAGCAAAGUUUAAAGUCUUGGUACUUUGGUAAUUAGAUCGCAAAAUGACGCAUGGUCUUUGAGUAUUAAGAUUUGUAACAUAUUGAAAGAUGUUUAACAAAUUACUGCUAAGAGAGUUGGUCUCCCACUGAGGGUAAUAGCAGACCACAGGUCUCCCAUUCAGAGAGUUGGUAGUAGAGUAACAUAUUGUAGAGUACUGGAUUCACAUUUAUUGGAACAACAGAGUAUAGGACUCUCAUUUGGACAGUUAUCAAUCCCAGUUGCAGAGUAUUAGAUUUGUUUUCAAAGGAUUGGCCUCUCUUUUAAGGAUCAAUAGAGCACUGGCCUUUCACUCAUGGUGUUAGCAGUUCUAGUAGUAGAGCAUUGGACUCCCAUUUCAGAGAAUUGGUAGAUAUAACACUAGAGACUGGAUUCCCAACAGAGGGACCAGAAAAGCACUGAACUCCCAUUCAAGGUUCGCUAGACAUCCACUUGGGCAACAACACUUCUCAAUGGAUGGAAUCCUCGUGUAAUAUAUCAAAGCUGCCAUGUGGGACAUCUCAAGGAACACUGCAGUUUGGUGUGGGGAAAUAAAAGAAUACUUUUGAAGAUGAUUCCAUCAAACUAUACUUUUUGUUGUUGUGUUCAUUGUCUCAAUACUGCAAGAAGAUCAAAUCAAUGUCCUUUACCAGCUAGUAAAACUACAUUGCAAGAAGUUAUGAAACUUAGUUCUGAUGUAACUGUUAUAAAUUCAGGUUAGCAUUUAAAGGAUCGUAUUCACCUUUGCCCAGAUCAAACACAAGUGUAGUUAAACCCAUUGUUUGAGCAUAGCAUGUUGUACUUCUGUUAAAAAUGACAGAUAAAUGUUCAAUACAAUUUCAACCCCUUUUAUCAAAGACAAGAAUGCAUUAAGCAACUCUGAGACUUGAAUCAUUGUGGGGAAAUGAUUCCUAAUUCUAUCCAGAAAUUCUUAAUGUGCUCUUCAGAAAUGGUUUAGUUAUACCAAUGCACAUCAGCCCCUAUGUUGUAAAAUGUCCUUUGGUAAUUUAUUUCAAAAUUGUAAAUAUAUACCUUAUGUAAUAUGCAAGAUUUCAGACUCUUGUCUUUUCUCACCAAACAUAAUAAAGGCUUCUGAAUCAAUAACC